This 342-nucleotide long non-coding RNA is filed under the name Elaeis guineensis (African oil palm). RNAcentral's name for it is "long non-coding RNA (EGUI_LNC004153)". Lineage: Eukaryota; Viridiplantae; Streptophyta; Magnoliopsida; Arecales; Arecaceae. The record is from RNAcentral.
CCGGCUCGCGGCAUCUUCAAAUCGAUUGGAGGAUAGACAGCUCGUCUAUGUUCAGAGCCGCACGUAAGUACUAUAUAUUUUCACUGAAUAUAUUUAAAUUUUAACCAUUUUAAAAUCUAAUAUUUAUUAUUUAAAAUAAUUUUUGCAGUAUAUUUACAGAGCCUGGGGUGUCUCAUGUGGUUACCAAUUGUUGAACCUCUAUACAACUCCCGUACCAAAUGAGAAUCAUCUUGCGUGGAUCUGGAUGUUAAUCCAGAAAAUGAAGAAGAAAUGCGGAAGCAAACGAUGGAGACACAAGGAGAUGCUAGGGUUUUGGCAUUGGAAUCUGAGAAAAAGAGAGAG